Molecule: ribosomal RNA, 787 nt
Filed under: uncultured bacterium
Lineage: Bacteria
Description: bacterial SSU rRNA
Rfam family: Bacterial small subunit ribosomal RNA
Source: RNAcentral
AGAGUUUGAUCCUGGCUCAGGACGAACGCUGGCGGCGUGCUUAACACAUGCAAGUCGAACGGAAAGGCCCCUUUGGGGGUGCUCGAGUGGCGAACGGGUGAGUAACACGUGGGUGAUCUGCCCUGCACUUCGGGAUAAGCUUGGGAAACUGGGUCUAAUACCGGAUAGGACCAUGGCCUGCAUGGGUUGUGGUGGAAAGUUUUUAAUGGUGUGGGAUGGGCCCGCGGCCUAUCAGCUUGUUGGUGGGGUGAUGGCCUACCAAGGCGACGACGGGUAGCCGGCCUGAGAGGGUGUCCGGCCACACUGGGACUGAGAUACGGCCCAGACUCCUACGGGAGGCAGCAGUGGGGAAUAUUGCACAAUGGGCGCAAGCCUGAUGCAGCGACGCCGCGUGGGGGAUGACGGCCUUCGGGUUGUAAACCUCUUUCACCAUCGACGAAGGCCUGCUUUUUGGGUGGGUUGACGGUAGGUGGAGAAGAAGCACCGGCCAACUACGUGCCAGCAGCCGCGGUAAUACGUAGGGUGCGAGCGUUGUCCGGAAUUACUGGGCGUAAAGAGCUCGUAGGUGGUUUGUCGCGUUGUUCGUGAAAUUCCCUGGCUUAACUGGGGGCGUGCGGGCGAUACGGGCAGACUGGAGUACUGCAGGGGAGACUGGAAUUCCUGGUGUAGCGGUGGAAUGCGCAGAUAUCAGGAGGAACACCGGUGGCGAAGGCGGGUCUCUGGGCAGUAACUGACGCUGAGGAGCGAAAGCGUGGGGAGCGAACAGGAUUAGAUACCCCCGUAGUCC